RNAcentral lists this ribosomal RNA (253 nucleotides) under uncultured bacterium. Its description in RNAcentral is "partial 16S ribosomal RNA". It matches the Rfam family "Bacterial small subunit ribosomal RNA", at positions 524 to 776 of the family's 1533-position model. The record is from RNAcentral.
UACGUAGGGUGCAAGCGUUAAUCGGAAUUACUGGGCGUAAAGCGUACGCAGGCGGCUAUGUAAGACAGGUGUGAAAUCCCCGGGCUUAACCUGGGAACUGCGCUUGUUACUGGCAGGCUUGAGUGUGGCAGAGGGGGGUGGAAUUCCACGUGUAGCAGUGAAAUGCGUAGAGAUGUGGAGGAACACCGAUGGCGAAGGCAGCCCCCUGGGCUAACACUGACGCUCAUGCACGAAAGCGUGGGGAGCAAGCAGG